UCUCUACCUCUAGUUUACGUUUUUUGGAUGUGUCUAGAGGGACAAUCUACGAAUAGUAGAGGGAGGCAAGAGGCAAUAACAGGUCUGUGAUGCCCUUUGAUGCCCUGGGCUGCACGCGUGCUACACUGACAAGUUCAACGAGUUUUGCUGCAUCGAUAGAUGUGGCCAAUCUGGAACGCUUGUCGUGUUGGGGAUUGGUGGUUGUAAGUCCACCAUGAACAAGGAAUUCCUAGUAGGUGCGAGUCAUCAUCUCGCGUCGAUUACGUCCCUGUCCUUUGUACACACCGCCCGUCGCUACUAUCGACGGACUCAUAGGCGAGCUUGCUGGAGGAAACAAGGGUGUGCGAGCCUGUGUGUCUGGAGAAAGUAAAAGUCG
Molecule: ribosomal RNA, 376 nt
Filed under: Microsporidia sp. clade III
Lineage: Eukaryota; Fungi; Microsporidia
Description: SSU rRNA
Rfam family: Eukaryotic small subunit ribosomal RNA
Source: RNAcentral